Molecule: long non-coding RNA, 501 nt
Filed under: Anser cygnoides (Swan goose)
Lineage: Eukaryota; Metazoa; Chordata; Aves; Anseriformes; Anatidae
Description: lncRNA (ENSACDG00005019041.1)
Source: RNAcentral
CAGGGGCUGGGCCCGAGGGACCCCGAGGUGCUGCCAGCCUCACCAGGCUGCGAUUCUGUGAAUAAGUGAUAGAAAGUAUCCAGUGCAGAAUACCAAAGAGGUCCAUGGAGUGUGGAGAAACAUGAAGAGCUUGUCUUUGGACAGCCUGGAUCCAGGGUCCCUCAGUCCUGCUGAAACAAACUGGAAAUGUGAGGGCUGUUUGGGAUAGGGACAACUUCCCGACAUUGUGCAUUUCCAGACCCAGGGAAAGAAGCAGAAAUCAGAACUUUCUGAAGUGACUGAUCUGCUCUGACAAUGUGCAGUAUAGACUGUUGCUGGCACUCACAGAAAGAAGUUUUUUUCUGGCCUCCGAUGAGGUUUAGAGAGGAGUGGUUGUGGCCCAAAUCUGCAGUCAGAGCAAUCCUGGUUGACAUUUAUCUCCAUGACCUCCAUCUUCUCUGGGUGGGCACAGAGCUAAAGGCUGAAGCUGAAGCUACUGCUGAAGUGGAUUUGACUCAUUGA